CCUGACCAAACUCGGUGUUACCACGACCUGACCGAAGCCCCUCCCUAAUUUACCCCCGCUUCCUCUCACCUCAAACCCUACUCUGUGUCUCUCUGUCUCGAUCACACACUCACCCUCUCUCUCGGCUCUCGACCAAACGCGAAGAAGAAGAGGAAGAUACCAUGAAGGUGAGGUCAUCAGUGAAGAAGCUAUGCGAGUUCUGUAGAACAGUUAAACGUCGUGGGAGAGUCUACAUCUUAUGUACUGCCAAUCCCAAGCACAAGCAACGGCAAGGCAUAUCGACGUUCGCUUAUGAAGGCCCACUGCCUCCUGCGUCCUCUGAGGUCAGCACCAAGCAAGAGCCACUGCCGAGCAGUAGCUGGCGUGUGGGUCUAGCAUCUCUUCUACCCAAACAGGAUAAAUAGGCCUAAAACACAACUUGAAUUGCUACUGUCCUAUUGCAGAUUAUGAGGUUAGUUCCUCGGAUUCUGUCAUUUGGGUUGUCAUUAUCUCGAGCUUUGGCAAUCAUUUGCUCUUCCCCUCUUUUAACAGUAAAAACGAUGUGUAGUAGACUUGUGUAAGCAUCUGUUGUCUCAAUGCAUGCAUACAUCAUCUUCUGAUGCUUAUAAUCAAUAUUUUCUUUUGAAUGAUUCUUA
Magnolia sinica is the source of this 635-nucleotide long non-coding RNA. RefSeq lists it as uncharacterized. The record is from RefSeq and is a predicted model, not a curated record. Lineage: Eukaryota; Viridiplantae; Streptophyta; Magnoliopsida; Magnoliales; Magnoliaceae. The transcript has 3 exons.